Molecule: long non-coding RNA, 2399 nt
Filed under: Panax ginseng (ginseng)
Lineage: Eukaryota; Viridiplantae; Streptophyta; Magnoliopsida; Apiales; Araliaceae
Description: long non-coding RNA (PGIN_LNC007102)
Source: RNAcentral
GAGGACAUAUAUAGAUGCAUUGUCUAUAUAAUUGUAACCAUAUAUCCUUUUCUUCCUUCAAAAUGAAAUAACAUAAUAUAAAAUUUCACCCAUCAAAAGUUGUAACUAUUUUUUCUACAAAUCAAUUAUAAUCACCAACUAAUACCAAUUAGAUAUACUCCCAGUAAAUCAAUUACACAAACCCUAGCUUCUUGUUCUUUGUGAAUGAGAAUAAUUUAUUUAAUACUAUGUCUUGGUGUACAUUAAUCUGGGAUUGAUCACAUAUAUUUAAGAUUCCACUUCUUUAGUUGGAAAGUAAAAAUAACCCUCUAUUUUCUAUGACACUUGAAGGAGUACAAGAUCAAGAUGAGGAAAGAUUUGAAUAAAAUUAUACAAUCAAAAAAAUACAAAUAAAAAUCAGAUUGCCAUAAUGAAACAUUGAUUGCCUUUCCACCUUCCUUUAACUGCCACAAACUCCUCUAACUCAAAUAGAAAUUGAAUCUAUAUAACUUUACAAUCACAGAAAUUUAUAAAAUUGGAUAAACUGACUAAGUAGUCACAAUAUUUAUAAAAUCUGAGUAAAUAAAAAUUAACCAUAAAACACAUGAAAACAUCCUUCAAAUACAAAACAAUAAGCUGAAAAUCCAUCAUAAUUACGCAAAGAAUAAUUAAAAUACGAAAUAGUCCAAAUAAACUCAAAAUUGAUUUCGGAAGGCCCAAACACAUGUUUUCAGGCGUCUUUUGGGAUUUCUACGGUCUCCUUCAUGACCAAAGGUGAUGAGAUUGGUAGAGCUCGUGGUAAGUUUCGAUUUGAUAUAUUAUGAGUCCCGCAAUUCUAAACGGAUCAAAAAUUAUGACAGUGUUAAAUCUUCUUAGACUUGAAUUUCCUUCAAUUUCCUAUUCUGACCGUGUCAUCCUCCUUCCCAAGUUUCAUGCCUUAAAGAGCCCAAUUUAGAGACAAUAACGCGAUUAUUCUGCAGAAACAGAUACUAAUUCUGGUGGAAGGAAGAGAGGUCGAUAGAGUAAAAUUUCCAAGGACAGAAAAACUUAAAAGAUGAUCGAGAAUAGUACUCCAUCCUAUAUAUGCAUGAACAAACACUUGCAUAGAAGUAAUUAUUUAACAUUACCAAGUAAAACCAUAUAUAAAUUAGUCAUAAUUAUAAUUAAUAAUGAAAAACAUAUAAUAUUUUUAUUGCUAAUUACCUCUGUUAAACUGUCAAUAAUUUUUAUUAAUACUAGUUAGUAAUACUUAAACAACAUUAUAACAUCCAUCUCUUUAUAUAUUGAUGCUGCUUUAAUUUUUAUUUUUCUUGUUUUUCUAUUUUGUUUUCUUCUUUAUAUAUAUUAAUUCCAGUUCAUACAUACAUAUUUACUCAACAUAAUUAAUCCUAAUUAUUAAUUCAACUCUAGAUACCAAUUACACAAUGAAGGACACAUAUAUAUGGCAAAACAAUGUACUUCAUUCAGAAUAUAUGCAUUUUAUGCCUAGCUACUAAUGAAAUGAAUUUCAACAAAUCCCUUAUUUGAAAAUACAAAUUUCUUAAUUAAUCCACAUUUCAUAAGAGAGUACGUACUGUGGUUCUAGCAAUAGUCUCACUUAUCUUCAUUUAAUUAAGAUGUUAAUUACAUGGUAUUAUCCCAAAUUUUCUUUCUAAUGAUCUAAAAUUUGUGUAGCCCUAGAAACAUGCAUUACAAAGAAGUUAAGGCCGUUACUACAAAUGUCUACAAUAACAUUGGAAUUUUAGUAGAUUUUUUUUUUUGAUCGGCAAAAAUAAAUUUUAAUGAAACCCAAAGUCAUACAGAUUGAGGCAAAUCCAAAAGACGAUAUGCAUGGAUAAUGCCGUCAUAGAGUUAAAGAAAGAAACCUAACCAUUUUUACUACAUUAAUUAAUUAUACAGGAUCAAAACCUGAUUUCGAACGAACACAAUCAUCCUGGCUUGAACUUAUCUGGAAAACACCCUCAAAUUCUCCAUCAAAACAAGGAAGAGAAAGACAGAAGCAUGUCUUUCUCGUGUCUUGGAAUUUUGUCCUUACUUGUUGUCUCAUUGAUAUAUUGAUCUGCAAAUAUACUAAAGACAAACAAGUACACACAAACAUAAAGAUAUCUAAAGAGAGAAAAAGAUAUACAUAAAUAUAUGUAUAUAUAUAUUGAGAGAGAGAGUCUGGAAGAGUACCAUUACUUGCAGAAUCCAUGAAUUGUAUUAAUUAGGGAAAAAAGAGGUAAUUGUAUUGACUGUUGGUGAAUGAGUGAUUGAAGCUGCAAGAUGACCUGAUGGAACCAUAUCUAUCUAUGAACCAAACAAAUAUACCCCAACUCUAUAUCCCACCAUUCUAAAACCAACUUACUCCCUCUCUCUCUCUCUCUCUCUCUCUCUCUAUAUAUAUAUAUAUAUAUAUAUAUAUAUAUAUAUAUAUAUAU